UACGAAGGGGGCUAGCGAUGAUCGGGAUCACUGGGCGUAAAGCGCACGUAGGCGGCUUCUUAAGUCAGGGGUGAAAUCCUGGGGCUCAACCCCAGAACUGCCCUUGAUACUGAGGAGCUUGAGUCCGGGAGAGGUGAGUGGAACUACGAGUGUAGAGGUGAAAUUCGUAGAUAUUCGGAAGAACACCAGUGGCGAAGGCGGCUCACUGGACCGGUACCGACGCUGAGGUGCGAAAGCUUGGGGAGCAAACAGG
RNAcentral lists this ribosomal RNA (253 nucleotides) under uncultured bacterium. Its description in RNAcentral is "partial 16S ribosomal RNA". It matches the Rfam family "Bacterial small subunit ribosomal RNA", at positions 524 to 776 of the family's 1533-position model. The record is from RNAcentral.